UUAAUAGUAUAAUCUGCUCCAUGAAAACUAAAUAGCCGCAAUUUGUGCUAAGGUAGCAUAAUCAUUUGUCUUUCAAAUGAAGACUAGAACAAAAGAUCUAAUAUUCAAAUAUAUUUAUUUAAUUUUAAAUAUUAAACUUUUCUUAAAUAUAAAAAGAUAUUUAUUUUAUAAAAAGACGACAAGACCCUAUUGAACUUUACUUAAGUUAAACUGGGGCAGUUAAUUAAUUAUUAUUUUACUAUAUAUUAUAUAUAAAAAUAUCCAAAAUAAUUGAAUAAUUCAGUUACCACAGGGAUAACAGCGCAAUUUCAUUCUAAAGCUCUCAUUUAAAAAAAAGAUUGCGACCUCGAUGUUGAAUUAAUAAUCUAUUUCAAAGCAAAUUUUAAAUCAGAAAGUCUGUUCGACUUUUAAAAAAUUACAUGAUUUGAGUUCAGACCGGUAUAAGCCAGGUCGGUUUCUAUCUUUUAUAUAUACUUUUACAGUACGAAAGGACCUAAAAAUUCAAUUAAAUUGUAUUAAUUGGCAGAAAAAUGCAUUAGAUUUAGAUUCUAAUACAACU
This 559-nucleotide ribosomal RNA is filed under the name Maeota dichrura. Its description in RNAcentral is "partial 16S ribosomal RNA". The stretch from base 167 to 469 matches the Rfam family "Bacterial large subunit ribosomal RNA", at positions 2071 to 2649 of the family's 2925-position model. Lineage: Eukaryota; Metazoa; Arthropoda; Arachnida; Araneae; Salticidae. The record is from RNAcentral.